This 292-nucleotide ribosomal RNA is filed under the name uncultured eukaryote. RNAcentral describes it as "partial 18S ribosomal RNA". It matches the Rfam family "Eukaryotic small subunit ribosomal RNA", at positions 6 to 293 of the family's 1831-position model. The record is from RNAcentral.
GGUUGAUCCUGCCAGUAGUCAUAUGCUUGUCUCAAAGAUUAAGCCAUGCAUGUCUAAGUAUAAACAACUUUAUACUGUGAAACUGCGAACGGCUCAUUAUAUCAGCAAUAAUUUAUUUGAUGGUUUCUUACUACAUGGAUAACUGUAGUAAUUCUAGAGCUAAUACAUGCGUAAAGUCCCGACUCUUGCGGGGAGGGAUGUAUUUAUUAGAUAAAAAACCAAUGCGGCUUCGGUCGCCUUUGUGUUGAAUCAUAGUAACUUAUCGGAUGGCAUAGCUUUACGCUGGCCACAG